This 440-nucleotide ribosomal RNA is filed under the name uncultured bacterium. Its description in RNAcentral is "partial 16S ribosomal RNA". It matches the Rfam family "Bacterial small subunit ribosomal RNA", at positions 338 to 795 of the family's 1533-position model. The record is from RNAcentral.
CCUACGGGAGGCAGCAGUGGGGAAUAUUGCACAAUGGGGGAAACCCUGAUGCAGCGACGCCGCGUGAGUGAAGAAGUAUUUCGGUACGUAAAGCUCUAUCAGCAGGGAAGAAAAUGACGGUACCUGACUAAGAAGCCCCGGCUAACUACGUGCCAGCAGCCGCGGUAAUACGUAGGGGGCAAGCGUUAUCCGGAUUUACUGGGUGUAAAGGGAGCGUAGACGGCAGGGCAAGUCUGGAGUGAAAUCCCAUGGCUUAACCAUGGAACUGCUUUGGAAACUGUGCAGCUAGAGUGCAGGAGAGGUAAGCGGAAUUCCUAGUGUAGCGGUGAAAUGCGUGGAUAGUAGGAGGAACACCAGUGGCGAAGGCGGCUUACUGGACUGUAACUGACGUUGAGGCUCGAAAGCGUGGGGAGCAAACAGGAUUAGAUACCCUGGUAGUC